This 72-nucleotide transfer RNA is filed under the name bacterium. RNAcentral's name for it is "tRNA-Arg". It matches the Rfam family "tRNA". Rfam says of the family: Transfer RNA (tRNA) molecules are approximately 80 nucleotides in length. Their secondary structure includes four short double-helical elements and three loops (D, anti-codon, and T loops). Further hydrogen bonds mediate the characteristic L-shaped molecular structure. tRNAs have two regions of fundamental functional importance: the anti-codon, which is responsible for specific mRNA codon recognition, and the 3' end, to which the tRNAs corresponding amino acid is attached (by aminoacyl-tRNA synthetases). tRNAs cope with the degeneracy of the genetic code in two manners: having more than one tRNA (with a specific anti-codon) for a particular amino acid; and 'wobble' base-pairing, i.e. permitting non-standard base-pairing at the 3rd anti-codon position. The record is from RNAcentral.
GCCCUCUUAGUUCAAUGGAUAGAACGGCCCGCUCCUAAUGGGCUGAUGUCAGUUCGAUUCUGGCAGGGGGCA